This 330-nucleotide ribosomal RNA is filed under the name uncultured bacterium. Its description in RNAcentral is "bacterial SSU rRNA". It matches the Rfam family "Bacterial small subunit ribosomal RNA", at positions 568 to 898 of the family's 1533-position model. The record is from RNAcentral.
UGUGUAGGCGGUUUGGUAAGUCUGGUGUGAAAUCUCCCGGCUCAACUGGGAGGGUGCGCCGGGGACUGCCGGACUCGAGUGCGGGAGAGGAGAGUGGAAUUCCUGGUGUAGCGGUGAAAUGCGUAGAUAUCAGGAGGAACACCGGUGGUGUAGACGGCUCUCUGGACCGUAACUGACGCUGAAACACGAAAGCGUGGGUAGCAAACAGGAUUAGAUACCCUGGUAGUCCACGCCCUAAACGAUGCAUAUUUGGUGUGGGUCAUUCAGUUGAUCCGUGCCGGAGCUAACGCGUUAAAUAUGCCGCCUGGGGAGUACAGUCGCAAGGCUGAA